This 190-nucleotide ribosomal RNA is filed under the name uncultured bacterium. RNAcentral describes it as "partial 16S ribosomal RNA". It matches the Rfam family "Bacterial small subunit ribosomal RNA", at positions 338 to 524 of the family's 1533-position model. The record is from RNAcentral.
CCUACGGGAGGCAGCAGUGGGGAAUCUUGGACAAAUGGGGGAAACCCUGAUCCAGCCAUGCCGCGUGGAGGAUUAAGGCCCUCUGGGUUGUAAACUCCUUUUAUCUGGGAAGAAAUGUACUUUUUCUUGAGUACUUGACGGUACCAGAGGAAUAAGCACCGGCUAACUCCGUGCCAGCAGCCGCGGUAAU